UUUACUCUCGACUCUCGACCUUUACUCUCGACUCUCGACCCUCGACUUUUAGAUACACUCCAAUCAGAGGGAACCUGAUAAGAAACAUAUGUUAAUCAAAGCGUCGCACUUAGUUAUUUCAUAUUUAUAAAUAGACGUCUUCUGAAAGUCGAAUUAACACUAUUAUAGAAAUAGGACAAAUUCACGGGGUGUAGAUGAAAGGCGGACGGACGGCGGAGCAUUUUAUAAACACAUGAUUACUACCGCAACUAAUUAUAAUGCUGAUAUUUGCUGUGUUGGUGUAGUGUACUCAGGUGAAUAGCAUGCUUGUGAUGUUAAUCUGAGUUAUAUCCACACCGGGCAGGCUUGAAAAAUAUGCCUGGCCACGGUGGGAAUCGAACCUACGACCUUUGGAAUACCAGCCCAAUUAUAAUGCCCUAAAUUAAAGUAUACCAGCUUUACAUCUAUAAAAUGAAUAUGUUUUCACCCGUUCGAAUUUUAACAAUGAAAUUUUCUAAUCAGCAUUCAAUAUGUAUAUAUGAUAGGCUAUACGUUGUCUUUCUCGGGAAACUUUUGGAAAUAUUGUAAAAAAGCGCCUUAGUUUUGGAGCUUCUGUUAGGCAGGGUUAUUAAAUGACAUUCACUUGCUGACAUUUUCGUCCUUUAAAUAGUGCUGACUUGUUGUUUUAUAAUGAAAAUAAUCCCCGUUUUACUUAUAAACCUAAGAGCUUCACACGUAGCAAAUUAUGCGACGACUAUUCUAUAUAUGGAUUUUUGAAAUAUCAUAUAUUAGGGGCGGAUAUUUGAUGGGGUAGAUUUUCAUUGAGCCCGAUAAUUUUUUAACCUGCUAAAUAACGCUGCUCGAUCUUUUUCUGUCCUUUAAGGCUCUUGAACGAUUUUUUUAUUUCAUGCUCACAAAUAAAAAAAUUCUUUUAUCCGUCCGCCUUUUAUCUACACACAAAUUCACGCCCUGUGAAACGCCCUGUUUGUUAAGCCGAUUACAGACGAGCAAGUUUUCUAUGAUCGUGACUGAAACACCACACGAGUAACACGAGUUACAUACGAGUACAUACGACAUACAUACGAGUACACACGACUUACAUACGGGUAGUAAACUCGUUUUCAGUGUUUGUAUAUUGCAUUAUAGACAAAAAUAUCGUAUUCUUGGUUGACAAACUUGAUUGGUUGAAGCUAAUUUUUUUACGUCUGCGAAAAGUAUCAAUUUCUCUGCCCUCACUCCUACCGAUUUUUUGCCAUCGAAAUUUUACUCUCGACAUACUACUUUGCUGUGAAAACGGCGCAAAAAUAACGCUUACAAUCAACGAUAAUUUAUAAAAAUACGAAUGUUUACUUUACCAGAAAUAUUAAAUACAGUAGAAACUCUCAGUCCAUAUAAAAAAAUACUCGAAUGUUUGGUUAUUUUCAUGCAAAACUAAUUUUAAAACAAAACUAAUUAACUAGACAACUAGAAAAUAGAGACUGAAAGGCAAAUAUACAACUUGUCAUUGUAUUUUAAAUGAAUUUACCUACAGCGUCUGAUUCGUCGGAAUCCAUAUUUAAAGCUAGUAGAUAUUAGAUAACAAUGCGAAAGUGAAAGAAAUCGAGUUCACUACCCAUAUGUAAGUCGUAUGUACUUGUAUGUCAGUCGUAUGUACUCGUUUGUUACUCGUGUGCACUCGUGUGUUACUCGUACAGUAUGUACCCGUAUUCAUGCGUAUGUAAGUCGUAUGUACUCGUACGUAACUCGUGUUACUCGUAUGGUGUUUCAUUCACGAUCGUUUUCUAUAACAAGUUUUCAUAUGACAAGUUUUAUUUGGUCGUAUUUGUAUAGGCAACUUUGCCAGUUUUUACUAUGACACGUAGGCCUACACUUGUUCAAAGGCUAGUAGCUAAAACAAACUACAAAUUUUUUGUUCGUCUGUACGGGUCAACAAAGAAAAUUUGGCAAAGCAAUUUGAGAACUUGUAUGCAGUUGAUCAACAAUCUAAUUGUAACUAUACGGUGGCUCACAAGGCUAUCGUGGCGGUUGGAAAUCCAAAAACUUGUCAUAGAAACUUUGUUGUAAGCACACACGUGCAAUUGCCAUUGUUUAAUUUCUCUUUAUUCCUUGAACGCAAAAUACAUGUCAUCGCUAAAUAUACUUAAGCCCCGUUUACACUACGCUCAAUUUUUGGUACCGUACCACUUUUUGGUUCUUGGACUGCCUAAAUAGGUAGUCCAAGAACCAAAAAAGUCGUACGGGUACCAAUUUUAUCCGUGCCGUACCAAAAAUUGAGCGUAGUGUAAACGGGGCUUAAUGUCAAUUAUGUAAAAGGGUGUGUCUAUAACAUCACUACAUCCCUCCCCUCUUUUAAGUAACUGUUUAUAAUUUUCUGUGUUGGUGUUAUGUACUCAGGUGAAUAUGAUGUUUGUGAUGUUACUCUGAGUGUAUAUCCACACUGGGCAAGCUUGAAAAAUAUGCCUGGCCACGGUGGGAAUUGAACCUACGACACCGUGGUCAGGGAAUCGAACCUAUACGACACCGUGGCCAGGCAUAUUUUUCAAGCUUGUGGAUACUCAGAGUAACAUCACAAACAUAACUGUUUAUACUUAAAUUCAAACCGUCCAAACUCAAUGAAAGUAUCUUAGAAACUCGAACUCAACGAAAGUAUACUGUUUAUGGGUCAACGAAUAAUUGUGUGCGGGUUUAUAAGAUUCCCAUAUUGUUCUCUUUGCACACGUUUCCUAGUUGAUCUUCUCAGCACUGGUGCUUGCACGUCGUUGUCGAUCUCUGUUCUCGUGGAUUCUCGUGCCCCAUGAUCUUCUUCAUCAUCUGAAUCACCCACUAUACAUCUUUUAUCUUUUUGAAGAAUGAUGCGUUCCUUGUCACAAUGUGUUUCUGAUUUUCAGCUACUAUCUUAGUUCCUUUCUGUUCAAUUAUCGUAUAUGGUUCUACUGAGUCCAUAUUUUGUUGUAAAUUUAUUUCUCUCUAUGACAAAAACAUAACACAAUGACUUCUAUUUAGUGUCCAGGCCGUCACAUCUUGAUAGAUUAUGGUGAAACGCCUCGUUCUUGAUACAUAAUUCCAUAAAAGCCUCCAAUUCCAUCAUAAACGCCUCUAGAAUACAUGUAUUUCAAUUCAAUCUUGCGUAUCUUUUAGCAAAACAAUAUCAAUGAAUUUUUGGUACUUGCCGAAAAGUGUUGAAGAUGAUAAAUUGCUAGAGAAUGAUGUCAGGACGACAGGGGAACAUGAACUAGAUGAGAACACGUUUUUGAAAGAUAAAGAAAUAGAUAUAAACAUAAAGAGGAGGUCUAAAACAGGAGAAGAUAAGAUAAAGGAAAAAGAUAACAGUAAAGCAGAAGAAAAUAUGGCGACGGUGAACGAAACAGGACCUGUACCUUGCACUGCAGGAGAAUUGAUUGGUUUAUCACGUGACAUCGAGGCUAUGAUUGGAGAAGCGCUGGGUGAUGUGACAAAGGUAACUAAUUUUGGAUUUAGUAAGAGUUGGAUACAUAUAUAUAUAUAUAUAUAUAUAUAUAUAUAUAUAUAUAUAUAUAUAUAUAUAUAUAUAUAAUUAUAUAAAGGUAGUUUAAAGGGGAGCAAUGCAUGCAAGCCAUUCUGAUUUACAUGUAUAAUUCAUCCCAAAGAUUUAUUUUCCAUUCAAUCAUAUUUCUAUUGGGCGCUUCAUUUUAAUGUUUAUACUCUAAUAGUUCGAAUUCAUUCAUAGAGUGGCGAAUGUUUCCAGUAUUACUGAAUUAGCCUUUCUCACGAUGACGAAUAUCCGCCAUUUUUGGGUGGCAUCAAAUUUUCCUUAUCCAAUGCAGACAAUUAAAACAAUGUGAAAAGCAAUUUUUCAAAAUAAACUAACCAUUUACUAAGCAAAUUUACCAUCAUUCGUCCAAAAAAUUAUAAAAAGUCGCUAUUAUAUGUGGACUUACCUGGCAGACUUCGGCUGAAAAGCCACCCAAAAAUGGCGGCCUGAGAAAGGCUAAUUGGUUGUAGCUCAUGCAAACUGUAUGGAACUUACUUAUUGAUCAAUUUGAAAAAGUGAAGAAUAGAGUGAUCGGGAAUUUACCGUCAAAAAAACUUUUCUUAAUUUAUUAUUUGCAAAGCUCGUCUUAAAGUUCAUGAACAUAUGAUUUUAGGUUGGCGCAUUUUUGAAAGAUAUGGUCGAUGGGCGUUACGACGUCGCCUGAAAAGUAUGGUGUAUUCUUGUAAAGUGCAUAAGAAACAAAAGCAGUAAUUAUAAUGUCGACAAAAGAACGCUAACUUGAAAUUGUUACUUCUGAUCGAAUUGGCGAUAAACCUCACGAUACUCUGCGUCAAGACUGAAUCGUGUCAUAAAUCUGCUUGCUUGAUUCGAUUAACCUCUUAGGAGGACGUAAGGGACUCCAGCGAAGUUAUUCAAUUUAAUGCGCGAAGCUGGUGACAAUACAUUUAUUGGAAACACACAAGCAGCUAGAUUAGAUGUUUUAUAGUAUAGAUCUAGAUUUUUAUAACCAAUCCCGAGGGUCCCCCAGGGGUGUCUGUGUUCCCGUGUUUACUUGAUAAGUUUUCCUUAACUUUGUCCCUUGUUCCCCACAGAGAUCACACCAUGUUCCCAUAGCUUACAUGUUCCCUUUUUCCCGAACUCGUUUUGGUUUUGCGCCCGUGCUCCUCCUUCGAAAUCUGCCUUGUUCCCCUUGUUCCCUAGAAACCACUGGGAGACCCUCAGUUUACCAUCAGAGACUGUUUCUGAAUACUGAUGACACUUUAAUCUAUUUUAGUAGUAACUCCAUUACAACGAUUGAGUCUAUUUUGUCUGAAGAUCUAAAUCGCAUAAUAGACUGCCUCAAUAAUAAUUUAUUAUUCCUAAAUUAUUCUAAGACCAUGAUCAUGUUAGUAGUCACACAUCAGAGACGUGUUAAAAUUAGUGGCUUUAAAAUCAUGGCGAGAGACACCACUCUAGAAAGAGUUUACAAGUUCAAAUAUCUUGGUGUUGUACUUGAUCCAUGUCUGUCCUGGAAUGAUCAUAUCUACUUUAUUAUCAACAAAAUUUCUAGGUUGAGUAUUCUACGAAAUGCUCAAAAGAUCCUGCCUCGGGAGACAUGUAUUACAUUGUAUAAUGCUAUCCUGCCUCGGGAGACAUGUAUAUCAUUGU
This is a non-coding RNA of Paramuricea clavata, 5098 nucleotides long. NCBI's taxonomy places the organism in Eukaryota, Metazoa, Cnidaria, Anthozoa, Malacalcyonacea, Plexauridae. The record is from the annotation of a GenBank genome assembly.